This is a non-coding RNA of Parachaetomium inaequale, 118 nucleotides long. NCBI's taxonomy places the organism in Eukaryota, Fungi, Ascomycota, Sordariomycetes, Sordariales, Chaetomiaceae. The record is from the annotation of a GenBank genome assembly.
AGUUAUAUAGAAUAGUAGUCAGUAUAUAUACCUUCUAUCUACUCGAUCUCAGGGCCUUAGUCGCCUAGGAUUAAGCAAAACUAGUGUAAGGUCGUAGGUUCGAAUCCUAUUAUAGCCU